AAGCGCUGAAAGCAUCUAAGCGCCAAGCUCAUCCGAAGAUGACAUUUCCCCAUUAGGGACGUGGUAGAUAAUCACGUUGAUAGGUCGCAAGUGGAAGCACGGUAACGUGUUUAGCUAAGCGAUACUAAUUUCCCAAUUGGCUUGAUCUC
This 149-nucleotide ribosomal RNA is filed under the name Verrucomicrobiales bacterium. RNAcentral's name for it is "partial 23S ribosomal RNA". It matches the Rfam family "Bacterial large subunit ribosomal RNA", at positions 2766 to 2925 of the family's 2925-position model. Lineage: Bacteria; Pseudomonadati; Verrucomicrobiota; Verrucomicrobiia; Verrucomicrobiales. The record is from RNAcentral.